This 202-nucleotide unclassified non-coding RNA is filed under the name Hevea brasiliensis (rubber tree). Lineage: Eukaryota; Viridiplantae; Streptophyta; Magnoliopsida; Malpighiales; Euphorbiaceae. The record is from RNAcentral.
AAUUGGACUAGCUGUCAAAAUAGUUCUUUGCAAUGUGCUGGUCCAUAUAGAAGCGGCCUUUUCAUUUUUCAGUCGUUUUUCAACAAAAUUGGCAAGCUUCUUUGCAUAGAGCUCCCCAGUUUCACUUAUCGCAGUGUCACCACCAAUUCUGCCUCUAACAUUGUACAAACUCUCUCCAUGCCUUGUUAGCAAAAUUGGACGG